UGAGGAAUCUUGCUCAAUGGGCGAAAGCCUGAAGCAGCGACGCCGCGUGGAGGAUGAAGGUCUUCGGAUUGUAAACUUCUGUUAAGUGGGAAAAAAGACUUAAGUUUAAUAGACUUAGGGGAUGAUGGUACCACUAGAGAAAGCACCGGCUAACUUCGUGCCAGCAGCCGCGGUAAUACGAAGGGUGCGAGCGUUAUUCGGAUUUAUUGGGCGUAAAGGGUGCGCAGGCGGCAUGCUAAGUCAGCUAUUUAAUCUCCCGGCCUAACUGGGAAUCAGUGGCAGAUACUGGCGUGCUAGAGGAUGGAAGAGAGAAGUGGAAUUCUCGGAGUAGCGGUAAAAUGCGUAGAUCUCGAGAGGAACACCGAUGGCGAAGGCAGCUUCUUGGUCCAUUUCUGACGCUCAUGCACGAAAGCGUGGGGAGCAAACAGGAUUAGAUACCCCUGUAGUCC
This 449-nucleotide ribosomal RNA is filed under the name uncultured bacterium. Its description in RNAcentral is "bacterial SSU rRNA". It matches the Rfam family "Bacterial small subunit ribosomal RNA", at positions 355 to 796 of the family's 1533-position model. The record is from RNAcentral.